AUUGAACGCUGGCGGCAUGCCUUACACAUGCAAGUCGAACGGUAACGGGCCUUCGGGUGCCGACGAGUGGCGAACGGGUGAGUAAUACAUCGGAACGUGCCCGAUCGUGGGGGAUAACGAGGCGAAAGCUUUGCUAAUACCGCAUACGAUCUACGGAUGAAAGCAGGGGACCGCAAGGCCUUGCGCGGACGGAGCGGCCGAUGGCAGAUAAGGUAGUUGGUGGGAUAAAAGCUUACCAAGCCGACGAUCUGUAGCUGGUCUGAGAGGAUGAUCAGCCACACUGGGACUGAGACACGGCCCAGACUCCUACGGGAGGCAGCAGUGGGGAAUUUUGGACAAUGGGCGCAAGCCUGAUCCAGCCAUGCCGCGUGCAGGAUGAAGGCCUUCGGGUUGUAAACUGCUUUUGUACGGAACGAAAAGCCUUCUUUUAAUACAGGAGGGUCAUGACGGUACCGUAAGAAUAAGCACCGGCUAACUACGUG
This 482-nucleotide ribosomal RNA is filed under the name uncultured bacterium. RNAcentral's name for it is "partial 16S ribosomal RNA". It matches the Rfam family "Bacterial small subunit ribosomal RNA", at positions 30 to 507 of the family's 1533-position model. The record is from RNAcentral.